AACAAUAUCCUGGUGCUGAGUGAUGACUCAGGUGACUCCAGCAUCAGUGAUUUUGUUGA
This 59-nucleotide microRNA precursor is filed under the name Macaca mulatta (Rhesus monkey). RNAcentral's name for it is "Mml-Mir-338-P2_pre stem-loop". It matches the Rfam family "mir-338 microRNA precursor family", at positions 6 to 66 of the family's 69-position model. The record is from RNAcentral. Lineage: Eukaryota; Metazoa; Chordata; Mammalia; Primates; Cercopithecidae.